GACGAACGCUGGCGGCGUGCUUAACACAUGCAAGUCGAACGGAAAGGCCCUGCUUGCAGGGUACUCGAGUGGCGAACGGGUGAGUAACACGUGGGUGAUCUGCCCUGCACUUCGGGAUAAGCCUGGGAAACUGGGUCUAAUACCGGAAAGGAGCCAGUGUGAGUGUGAUGGUUGGAAAGUUUUUUCGGUGUAGGAUGAGCUCGCGGCCUAUCAGCUUGUUGGUGGGGUAAUGGCCUACCAAGGCGGCGACGGGUAGCCGGCCUGAGAGGGUGGACGGCCACAUUGGGACUGAGAGACGGCCCAGACUCCUACGGGAGGCAGCAGUGGGGAAUAUUGCACAAUGGGCGCAAGCCUGAUGCAGCGACGCCGCGUGGGGGAUGACGGCCUUCGGGUUGUAAACUCCUUUCGCUAGGGACGAAGCUUUUUGUGACGGUACCUAGAUAAGAAGCACCGGCUAACUACGUG
This 465-nucleotide ribosomal RNA is filed under the name uncultured bacterium. Its description in RNAcentral is "partial 16S ribosomal RNA". It matches the Rfam family "Bacterial small subunit ribosomal RNA", at positions 28 to 507 of the family's 1533-position model. The record is from RNAcentral.